UGUUCAAAAAUUCUGCUGCACCUUUUGAUAUUCAAUUGUGCCAGCCUGACACAUCUAAGCUGUUCCUGUAACUGUGUUUUGCGAAUACAUCUAAACUGUUCCAUGUAGACUCCAAAUUACAGUCUUGUCGAAAGAGCUCAUGAAUCUAGCCCAUAAAAGCUUAUUGCAUAGGUUCUCAGUGCGAAGAGAUUAAUACAUAAGUAGCACAAAACAAGAAUAAGGUCACACACAAACAUGCAGGACAUGGGCCGAGUCAGAUUCUGCUGACCGGUACAUUAUAUUAGGGCUAAGUAUCAAACAUAUUUUAGAUCUCUAAGCUUGAUGUGACCUCAUGAUCAAGAAGAGCACGGCCUUUGCGCUUUCGAGAUGAGGACUAGCCAGUCCCGAUUAGAGCCUUCUACAAUAAUUAGAUCAGUGCAAUGCUGCUCUCGCCACCAGGCGGCUUCCGGACACCACCAAGGUAGUCUCGCGAAGACGC
This is a non-coding RNA of Lolium perenne, 478 nucleotides long. NCBI's taxonomy places the organism in Eukaryota, Viridiplantae, Streptophyta, Magnoliopsida, Poales, Poaceae. The record is from RefSeq and is a predicted model, not a curated record.